UACGAAGGGGGCUAGCGUUGCUCGGAAUCACUGGGCGUAAAGGGUGCGUAGGCGGGUUUUUAAGUCAGGGGUGAAAUCCUGGAGCUCAACUCCAGAACUGCCUUUGAUACUGAAGAUCUUGAGUCCGGGAGAGGUGAGUGGAACUGCGAGUGUAGAGGUGAAAUUCGUAGAUAUCGGGAGGAACACCAGUGGCGAAGGCGGCGAUCUGGGAAGAUACUGACGCUGAGGUGCGAAAGCGUGGGGAGCAAACAGG
This 253-nucleotide ribosomal RNA is filed under the name uncultured bacterium. RNAcentral describes it as "partial 16S ribosomal RNA". It matches the Rfam family "Bacterial small subunit ribosomal RNA", at positions 524 to 776 of the family's 1533-position model. The record is from RNAcentral.